RNAcentral lists this ribosomal RNA (1416 nucleotides) under Enterobacter sp. RNAcentral's name for it is "bacterial SSU rRNA". It matches the Rfam family "Bacterial small subunit ribosomal RNA". The record is from RNAcentral. Lineage: Bacteria; Pseudomonadati; Pseudomonadota; Gammaproteobacteria; Enterobacterales; Enterobacteriaceae.
UGCAGUCGAGCGGCAGCAGCGGGAGUGCCUGGCUACUUUGGCAGGCGAGCGGCAGAGGGGUGAGUAGUGUGGGGGAAAGUGCGAGAGGGAGGGGGAUAACUAGGGGAAACGGUCUCUAAUACCGCAAAGUGUCGCAAGACCAAAGAGGGAGACCUUCGGGCCUCUCGCCAUCAUAUGUGCCCAUAUGGGAUUAUCUUGUGUGUGGGGUAAGGGCUCACCUGGCGACAAUAUCCCUAUCUGGUCAGAGAAGAUGACCACCCACAGUGGAACUGACACACGGUCCACACUCCUACGGGGGGCAGCUGUGGGGAAUAUUGCACAGUGGGCGCACGCCUGAUGCACCCGUGCCGCGUGUAUGAAAAGGGCCUUCGGGUUGUAAAGUACUUUCCGCGGGGAAGAGUGUGUUGAGGUUAAUAACCUCAGCAUUUGAUUUUACCCGCAAAAAAAGCCCCGGCAAACUCCGUGCCAGCCCCCGCGGUUAUACAGAGGGUGCACGCGUUAAUCAGAUUUAGUGGGCGUAAAGCGCACGCGGGCUGUCUGUCAUGUCAGAUGUGAUAUCCCGGGGCUCAACGUGGGAUCUGCUUUCAACUGUGGCGCGCUAGAGUCGUGUAGAGGGGGGUAGUACUCCGUGUGUAGCUGUGAUAUGCAUAGAUAUCUAGAAGAACACCUGUCGAGAGCGCCGCCCUGUGCACAGACACUGACGCUCAGGUGCGAAAGCGUGGGGAGCAAACAGGAUUAGAUACCCUGGUAGUCCACGCCGUAAACGAUGUCGACUUGGAGGUUGUGCCCUUGAGGCGUGGCUUCCGGAGCUAACGCGUUAAGUCGACCGCCUGGGGAGUACGGCCGCAAGGUUAAAACUCAAAUGAAUUGACGGGGGCCCGCACACAGCGGUCGAGCAUGUGGUUUAAUUCGAUGCAACGCGAAGAACCUUACCUACUCUUGACAUCCAGAGAACUUAGCAGAUGAUGCUUUGGUGCCUUCGGGAACUCUGAGACAUGGUGCUGCAUGGCUCGUCGUCAGCUCGUGUUGUGAAAUGUUGGGUUAAGUCCCGCAACGAGCGCAACCCUUACUCUCUUUGUUGCCAGCGGUCCGGCCGGGAACUCAAAGGAGACUGCCAGUGAUAAACUGGAGGAAGGUGGGGAUGACGUCAAGUCAUCAUGGCCCUUACGAGUAGGGCUACACACGUGCUACAAUGGCGCAUACAAAGAGAAGCGACCUCGCGAGAGCAAGCGGACCUCAUAAAGUGCGUCGUAGUCCGGAUUGGAGUCUGCAACUCGACUCCAUGAAGUCGGAAUCGCUAGUAAUCGUAGAUCAGAAUGCUACGGUGAAUACGUUCCCGGGCCUUGUACACACCGCCCGUCACACCAUGGGAGUGGGUUGCAAAAGAAGUAGGUAGCUUAACCUUCGGGAGGGCGC